GCCGGGUGUGGUGAUGCACGCCUGUAGUCCCAGCUACUCGGGAGGCUGAGACAAGAGGAUCACUUGAGCCCAGGAUGUCAAAGCUGUAGUGAGCCAUGAUUGCACCACUGCACUCCAGCCUGGGCAACAAAGCAAGACCCUGUCUCCA
Molecule: non-coding RNA, 148 nt
Filed under: Homo sapiens (human)
Lineage: Eukaryota; Metazoa; Chordata; Mammalia; Primates; Hominidae
Source: Rfam by way of RNAcentral